Molecule: long non-coding RNA, 157 nt
Organism: Octopus sinensis (East Asian common octopus)
Lineage: Eukaryota; Metazoa; Mollusca; Cephalopoda; Octopoda; Octopodidae
Exons: 3
Source: RefSeq, a predicted model, not a curated record
UGCAGCCAUGAUGGAGCACUGCCUUUAGUCAAACAAAUCAACUCCAGGACUUAUCCUUUAUAAGCCUAGUACUAAUACUAUGGGUCUCUUUUGCUGAACUGCUAAGUUACAGGGAUUGGUUGUCAAGCGAUGGUGGGGAGACAAACACAGACACACA